GCGCCCUUGGCCGAUUGGGGAGGCAGCGAGCUCAUAAUUCGCUUUCAGAGUGGUUCGAUUCCACUAGGGCGCA
RNAcentral lists this transfer RNA (73 nucleotides) under Oscillatoria sp. SIO1A7. Its description in RNAcentral is "tRNA-Met". It matches the Rfam family "tRNA". From Rfam's summary of the family: Transfer RNA (tRNA) molecules are approximately 80 nucleotides in length. Their secondary structure includes four short double-helical elements and three loops (D, anti-codon, and T loops). The record is from RNAcentral. Lineage: Bacteria; Bacillati; Cyanobacteriota; Cyanophyceae; Oscillatoriales; Oscillatoriaceae.